RNAcentral lists this ribosomal RNA (253 nucleotides) under uncultured bacterium. RNAcentral describes it as "partial 16S ribosomal RNA". It matches the Rfam family "Bacterial small subunit ribosomal RNA", at positions 524 to 776 of the family's 1533-position model. The record is from RNAcentral.
UACGUAGGGUGCAGGCGUUAAUCGGAAUUACUGGGCGUAAAGCGUGCGCAGGCGGUUUCUUAAGUCAGAUGUGAAAGCCCCGGGCUUAACCUGGGAACUGCGUUUGAAACUGGGAGACUUGAGUGUGGCAGAGGGGGGUGGAAUUCCACGUGUAGCAGUGAAAUGCGUAGAUAUGUGGAGGAACACCGAUAGCGAAGGCAGCCCCCUGGGUUAACACUGACGCUCAUGCACGAAAGCGUGGGGAGCAAACAGG